This 253-nucleotide ribosomal RNA is filed under the name uncultured bacterium. RNAcentral describes it as "partial 16S ribosomal RNA". It matches the Rfam family "Bacterial small subunit ribosomal RNA", at positions 524 to 776 of the family's 1533-position model. The record is from RNAcentral.
UACAGAGGGUGCAAGCGUUGUUCGGAAUUACUGGGCGUAAAGCGCGUGUAGGCGGCGGCGUAAGUCGGGUGUGAAAUCCCUCAGCUCAACUGAGGAAGUGCACUCGACACUGUGUCGCUUGAAUGUCGGAGGGGAUGGCGGAAUUCCCGGUGUAGAGGUGAAAUUCGUAGAUAUCGGGAGGAACACCUGUGGCGAAGGCGGCCAUCUGGACGACAAUUGACGCUGAGACGCGAAAGCGUGGGUAGCAAACAGG